UGCCAGGACUGACCAAGACCAUCAGGCUUGUGACAGAAUGAAACAUCAUUUUCACACAUGGAUUAGCCUCCAUAAAGUCCAGACUCUAAUUUGGGAUGCGAUGAAGACUCGAUGCAGUGGUCCAAUUCUUCAUCAUCAA
This is a long non-coding RNA of Sphaeramia orbicularis (orbiculate cardinalfish), 139 nucleotides long. RefSeq lists it as uncharacterized. The transcript is spliced from 3 exons. The record is from RefSeq and is a predicted model, not a curated record. Lineage: Eukaryota; Metazoa; Chordata; Actinopteri; Kurtiformes; Apogonidae.